AACUCAGGGAACUGAAACAUCUAAGUACCUGAAGGAAGAGAAAGAAAUUCGAUUCCGUAAGUAGCGGCGAGCGAACGCGGAUUAGCCCAAACCAAUAAAGUUUUCUUUAUUGGGGUUGCGGACAUAUCAUAACGAAGAGGUAUCGUAAUUGAAGAGGUUUGGAAAGACCCACCACAGAAGGUAAUAGUCCUGUAUGUUAAACGAGAAUACUUUAGAUAUGAUCCAGAGUACCACGGGACACGUGAAACCCUGUGGGAAGCAG
Molecule: ribosomal RNA, 262 nt
Filed under: Clostridioides difficile
Lineage: Bacteria; Bacillati; Bacillota; Clostridia; Peptostreptococcales; Peptostreptococcaceae
Description: partial 23S ribosomal RNA
Rfam family: Bacterial large subunit ribosomal RNA
Source: RNAcentral